This 790-nucleotide ribosomal RNA is filed under the name uncultured bacterium. RNAcentral describes it as "bacterial SSU rRNA". It matches the Rfam family "Bacterial small subunit ribosomal RNA", at positions 8 to 796 of the family's 1533-position model. The record is from RNAcentral.
AGAGUUUGAUCAUGGCUCAGAUUGAACGCUGGCGGCAUGCCUUACACAUGCAAGUCGAACGUGAAAGGGGGCAACCCCGAGUAGAGUGGCGAACGGGUGAGUAAUACAUCGGAACAUUUCCUGUAGCGGGGGACAACCUCGAGAAAUCGAGGCUAAUACCGCAUACGAUCUUCGGAUGAAAGUGGGGGACCGCAAGGCCUCACACUAUAGGAGUGGCCGGUGUCGGAUUAGCUAGUUGGCGGGGUAAAAGCCCACCAAGGCGACGAUCCGUAGCUGGUCUGAGAGGACGACCAGCCACACUGGGACUGAGACACGGCCCAGACUCCUACGGGAGGCAGCAGUGGGGAAUUUUGGACAAUGGGCGCAAGCCUGAUCCAGCCAUGCCGCGUGAGUGAAGAAGGCCUUCGGGUUGUAAAGCUCUUUCGGCCGGGACGAAAUCGCGCGGGCGAAUAUCCCGCGUGGAUGACGGUACCGGAAGAAGAAGGACCGGCUAACUACGUGCCAGCAGCCGCGGUAAUACGUAGGGUCCGAGCGUUAAUCGGAAUUACUGGGCGUAAAGCGUGCGCAGGCGGUUCGCAAAGACAGGUGUGAAAUCCCCGGGCUUAACCUGGGAACUGCGCUUGUAACUAGCGGGCUAGAGUGCGGCAGAGGGGGGUGGAAUUCCACGUGUAGCAGUGAAAUGCGUAGAGAUGUGGAGGAACACCGAUGGCGAAGGCAGCCCCCUGGGUUAGCACUGACGCUCAUGCACAAAAGCGUGGGGAGCAAACAGGAUUAGAUACCCCAGUAGUCC